GGCAGCAUGGCCGAGUGGUCUAAGGCGGUAGACUUGAAUUUACCAAAGAGUAAUUUAUUAUCUAUUCUCUUCGGAGGCGUGCGUUCGAACCGCACUGCUGUCG
This is a transfer RNA of 103 nucleotides. It matches the Rfam family "tRNA". From Rfam's summary of the family: Transfer RNA (tRNA) molecules are approximately 80 nucleotides in length. Their secondary structure includes four short double-helical elements and three loops (D, anti-codon, and T loops). The record is from Rfam.